UCUCAUAGCUUAACUAUGAAACUGCCAUUGAUACUGCAGGUCUUGAGUAAAUUUGAAGUGGCUGGAAUAAGUAGUGUAGCGGUGAAAUGCAUAGAUAUUACUUAGAACACCAAUUGCGAAGGCAGGUCACUAAGAUUUAACUGACGCUGAUGGACGAAAGCGUGGGUAGCGAACAGGAUUAGAUACCCUGGUAGUCCACGCCGUAAACGAUGCUAACUCGUUUUUGGAUCUUCGGAUUCAGAGACCAAGCGAAAGUGAUAAGUUAGCCACCUGGGGAGUACGUUCGCAAGAAUGAAACUCAAAGGAAUUGACGGGGGCCCGCACAAGCGGUGGAUUAUGUGGUUUAAUUCGAUGAUACGCGAGGAACCUUACCAAGACUUAAAUGGGAAAUGACAGGUUUGGAAACAGACCCUUCUUCGGACAUUUUUCAAGGUGCUGCAUGGUUGUCGUCAGCUCGUGCCGUGAGGUGUUAGGUUAAGUCCUGCAACGAGCGCAACCCCUGUCACUAGUUGCCAUCAUUCAGUUGGGGACUCUAGUGAGACUGCCUACGCAAGUAGAGAGGAAGGUGGGGAUGACGUCAAAUCAUCACGGCCCUUACGUCUUGGACCACACACGUAAUACAAUGGCCGGUACAGAGGGCAGCUACCUAGCGAUAGGAUGCGAAUCUCGAAAGCCGGUCUCAGUUCGGAUUGGAGUCUGCAACUCGACUCUAUGAAGCUGGAAUCGCUAGUAAUCGCGCAUCAGCCAUGGCGCGGUGAAUACGUUCCCGGGCCUUGUACACACCGCCCGUCAAGCCAUGGAAGUUUGGGGUACCUGAAGUCGGUGACCGUAAAAGGAGCUGCCUAGGGUAAAACAAGCAACUAGGGCUAAGUCGUAACAAGGUA
This 884-nucleotide ribosomal RNA is filed under the name Chryseobacterium sp. TH138. Its description in RNAcentral is "bacterial SSU rRNA". It matches the Rfam family "Bacterial small subunit ribosomal RNA", at positions 600 to 1498 of the family's 1533-position model. The record is from RNAcentral. Lineage: Bacteria; Pseudomonadati; Bacteroidota; Flavobacteriia; Flavobacteriales; Weeksellaceae.